UACGGAGGAUCCAAGCGUUAUCCGGAUUUAUUGGGUUUAAAGGGUGCGUAGGCGGCCUGUUAAGUCAGGGGUGAAAGACGGUAGCUCAACUAUCGCAGUGCCCUUGAUACUGAUGGGCUUGAAUGGACUAGAGGUAGGCGGAAUGAGACAAGUAGCGGUGAAAUGCAUAGAUAUGUCUCAGAACACCGAUUGCGAAGGCAGCUUACUAUGGUCUGAUUGACGCUGAGGCACGAAAGCGUGGGGAUCGAACAGG
Molecule: ribosomal RNA, 253 nt
Filed under: uncultured bacterium
Lineage: Bacteria
Description: partial 16S ribosomal RNA
Rfam family: Bacterial small subunit ribosomal RNA
Source: RNAcentral